Molecule: ribosomal RNA, 497 nt
Filed under: uncultured bacterium
Lineage: Bacteria
Description: partial 16S ribosomal RNA
Rfam family: Bacterial small subunit ribosomal RNA
Source: RNAcentral
GAUGAACGCUGGCGGCGUGCCUAAUACAUGCAAGUCGAGCGAACAGACGAGGAGCUUGCUCCUCUGACGUUAGCGGCGGACGGGUGAGUAACACGUGGAUAACCUACCUAUAAGACUGGGAUAACUUCGGGAAACCGGAGCUAAUACCGGAUAAUAUAUUGAACCGCAUGGUUCAAUAGUGAAAGACGGAUUUGCUGUACCUUAUAGAUGGAUCCGCGUCGCAUUAGCUAGUUGGUAAGGUAACGGCUUACCAAGGCAACGAAGCGAAGCCGACCGAAGAGGGGGAUCGGCCAAACUGGAACUGGGACACGGUCCAAACCCCUACGGGGGGCAGAAGAAGGGAAUCUUGCGCAAUGGGGCAAAGCCGGACGGGGAAACGCCGGGUGGGGGAUGAAGGUCUUCGGAUGGUAGGACUCGUUUUAUAGGGAAAAAGAAAUGGGGAAGUAACUAUGCACGUCUUGACGGUACCUAAUCAGAAAGCCACGGCUAACUACGUG